UGGGGAAUUUUCCGCAAUGGGCGAAAGCCUGACGGAGCAAUCUCGCGUGAGGGAUGACGGCCUAUGGGUUGUAAACCUCUUUUUUCAGGGAGGAAUCAAAUGACGUGUACCUGAAGAAUAAGCAUCGGCUAACUCCGUGCCAGCAGCCGCGGUAAGACGGAGGAUGCAAGUGUUAUCCGGAAUCACUGGGCGUAAAGCGUCUGUAGGUGGUUUAGUAAGUCAACUGUUAAAUCUUGAAGCUUAACUUCAAAAUCGCAGUCGAAACUGCUAGACUAGAGUAUAGUAGGGGUAAAGGGAAUUUCCAGUGGAGCGGUGAAAUGCGUAGAGAUUGGAAAGAACACCGAUGGCGAAGGCACUUUACUGGGCUAUUACUGACACUCAGAGACGAAAGCUAGGGUAGCAAAUG
RNAcentral lists this ribosomal RNA (406 nucleotides) under uncultured bacterium. RNAcentral's name for it is "bacterial SSU rRNA". It matches the Rfam family "Bacterial small subunit ribosomal RNA", at positions 355 to 774 of the family's 1533-position model. The record is from RNAcentral.